RNAcentral lists this small RNA (332 nucleotides) under Pan troglodytes (chimpanzee). RNAcentral's name for it is "retained intron". The record is from RNAcentral. Lineage: Eukaryota; Metazoa; Chordata; Mammalia; Primates; Hominidae.
UGCUUUAUACUAAAUUUCUUUUGUUCAAAAUAUUUUUCCUACAUAGAACAAAGAGGUGAAGAAAAAGACUUUAGAGUCGAAGAAAGUAUCUGCAUCUACCUUAAAAAGAGAUGCAGAUGCUUCAAAAGCUGUUGAAAUUGUUACUUCAACUUCUGCUGGUUAGUUAUGCAAUAUCUCCCUCCAUCCCUUCCCGAUAAACCCACAAGACACAAAACAUAAGAAAGCCAAAACUGGACAAGCCAAGGCAUCUGUAGCCAAAGUAAACAAAUCUGCAGGGAAAUCAGCAAGUUCUGUAAAAUCUGUGGUAACGGUAGCUGUUAAAGGUAAUAAAG